GAUGAACGCUGGCGGCGUGCCUAAUACAUGCAAGUCGAGCGAACAGACGAGGAGCUUGCUCCUCUGACGUUAGCGGCGGACGGGUGAGUAACACGUGGAUAACCUACCUAUAAGACUGGGAUAACUUCGGGAAACCGGAGCUAAUACCGGAUAAUAUAUUGAACCGCAUGGUUCAAUAGUGAAAGACGGUUUUGCUGUCACUUAUAGAUGGAUCCGCGCCGCAUUAGCUAGUUGGUAAGGUAACGGCUUACCAAGGCAACGAUGCGUAGCCGACCUGAGAGGGUGAUCCGGCACACUGGAACUGGGAAACGGUCCAGAAUCCUAAGGGAAGGAGGCGGAGGGAAUCCUUCGGAAAGGGGGGAAGGCUGAACGAGGAAAGGCGGGUGAGUGAUGAAGGGUUUCGGGUCGGAAAAAUCUGUUAAUAGGGAAGGACAAAUGUGUAAGUAAAUAUGGCCGUCUUGACGGUAACUAAUCAGAAAGCCACGGCUAAACACGUG
This 497-nucleotide ribosomal RNA is filed under the name uncultured bacterium. RNAcentral describes it as "partial 16S ribosomal RNA". It matches the Rfam family "Bacterial small subunit ribosomal RNA", at positions 28 to 507 of the family's 1533-position model. The record is from RNAcentral.